UUCAUGCAUUCACUUCUGCUGA
This 22-nucleotide microRNA is filed under the name Aedes aegypti (yellow fever mosquito). RNAcentral describes it as "aae-miR-11895". Lineage: Eukaryota; Metazoa; Arthropoda; Insecta; Diptera; Culicidae. The record is from miRBase by way of RNAcentral.